UACGUAGGUGGCAAGCGUUGCCCGGAAUUAUUGGGCGUAAAGAGCUCGUAGGCGGACUGUCGCGUCGGACGUGAAAACCCAGGGCUCAACCCUGGACCUGCGUUCGAUACGGGCAGACUAGAGUUCGGUAGGGGAGACUGGAAUUCCUGGUGUAGCGGUGAAAUGCGCAGAUAUCAGGAGGAACACCGGUGGCGAAGGCGGGCCUCUGGGCCGAUACUGACGCUGAGGAGCGAAAGCGUGGGGAGCGAACAGG
RNAcentral lists this unclassified non-coding RNA (253 nucleotides) under uncultured Sporichthyaceae bacterium. RNAcentral describes it as "contains 16S-23S intergenic spacer region". It matches the Rfam family "Bacterial small subunit ribosomal RNA", at positions 524 to 776 of the family's 1533-position model. The record is from RNAcentral. Lineage: Bacteria; Bacillati; Actinomycetota; Actinomycetes; Sporichthyales; Sporichthyaceae.